GGGCCGCGCCGUGGGGCCCCGGCAGCCCGCCUCGCGGCCGCGAAGGACACCGGUCCCCUCACCUGAGACGCUAGGCCGCACGCCGCCGCACGCUGUCCGGGACGCCAAGCCGGGGCCCGUCCGCCGCGCCCGCCGCGCCGCUGCGCUCACAGGCCCCGCUCGCCCGCGGGCACUGCUGGCAGCCUCCGCCGCAGCCGCCGCCACUGCUUCGGUUCCUCGGCUGCGGGAGAGCAGAACAAACAGCCCUGCCGCCGCCGCCAGCGCACUGAUGUCACCACGCACGCUGCGCGCGCGGCCCCGUGUCAUCGCCGCCGCCCGGCGUGCGCGUCCCGCUGGUCCUCCCAGGUCCGGAGAGCUUCGUUAGUGCCGGCGGCGGUUGUAGAGGUGAGGACAGGAGACUGGCUCCCCCGACUGGGGGGAGGAGGGCGGGAGUCCUUGGAACACGAUCGAGGGUCUCUGAGGACUGUGUACCCCAGAGGGAUACACAGAAGAGGGAAGAUCAAGAGAAGACAAGAAGAGUCUUCAGGGCCAUCCAUAAGGAAACAGCUUUUCGGAGGAAGCCGACACGCAGACUCAGGGAAGGAACCUUGCAGAUGAGUGGGGAUCUUCACAUGCAAGAACGACAAGAAAAGAUUUUUUUUUUUCCCCCAGAGCUGAGGACCGAACCCAGGGCCUUGCGCUUGCUAGGCAAGCGCUCUACCACUGAGCUAAAUCUCCAACCCCAAGAAAAGAUUUUUAAUCCAAAAAUUUAAAUAAUCCGAUGACAGACUCAAAAGAGCAGAUGGUGAAGAGAGCCCUCAGACAGGUGAUAGAGGAACAUUAAGGCCAGAGGACUAUGGCUAGUUGUGUGUCAGUGGGAACUGACAAUUGCUGAAAAUACAGACACGUUUCACUAUAUUCACUACACUCAAUUUAUGGAAUCAACUUAAGGAAAAUAUUUCAUGUAUCAUGAAAUAAGAGAAUGAGCCAGCGGGGAUUUUUUUUUUCAGAGCAGGAUCUUAAGAAUUCUUACCCUUCUUGUCUCAGCCUUCCAAGUAAUGAGAUUACAUGUGUUCACCACCACACCCAGGUCUUCUUGGCUGGCCUCUGUAGAGGAGCUGAAGAUUGAUCAGUACGGAUCUCUAAGCCUAGAACAUUCUCUUUCUUGUCCUCCAGAUUAACUUUAAUUCUUGAAGACGUAAGUCAGCUCCCAGCAUACUCUGAACUAGGUAUGUGACCAUUUGAGGGGUUGCAAAACAUCCCAGCCUGGAAUACAGAAGAUCUUUGAGAUUUUUUAAGACAGCAUUUCUCUGUAUGGCCCUGACUGUCCUAAAACUUAAACUAGAAUAGCCUUGAACACAGAAAUCUGUCUUUCUCUGCCUCUUAAGUACUGGGAUAAAAGGUAUGUACUACCACCCCC
This 1399-nucleotide long non-coding RNA is filed under the name Mus musculus (house mouse). RNAcentral describes it as "long non-coding RNA chr17:32284455-32285854". Lineage: Eukaryota; Metazoa; Chordata; Mammalia; Rodentia; Muridae. The record is from RNAcentral.